GGAUGCAAAAGUCGUAACACGGUUUCCGUAGGUGAACCUGCGGAAGGAUCAUUCACACAUUGCGUCUCAAAGCUGCUUUCCGUAUCGCGCAAGUGCGUCACGGUUGCAACUGCCUUGUUGCUCUUGUGGGUAUAUUGUUGUGAUUUUGGGAGGUUUGCUGCGAGGAAACGCUCGAUGUAAUAACAUACAUUCCCAAUCUUUGAAUCUUUUAUUUCCCCACAACGUACUUUUGAAAGAAUUGAGAGGCAUUAUUAUUUUCUCUGAUUGCGAGUGUUGGAUUUGUUCUUCUGAUGGGAGAGGGUCCGACUCAAGCAUGAGGGGGAUGAGUCGUGGCUAGCUGCUAGCUGCGGGGAGUCAAGGGUUUUGGGGCUGUUUGGGGCUGAGGCAUGCAGUCGUGCAUACAGACCAGACUGGUGUCUCAAGUCUUUGACUUCCUAGGCUGAUGGCGCGUCGCGUCUCUAUUGAAAUUUUGUUGAAUUAAAUAAAACUUUCAGCAAUGGAUGUCUUGGCUCACGCAUCGAUGAAGGACGCAGCGAAAUGCGAUACGCAUUGUGAAUUGCAGAUUUUAGUGAACCAUCAGAUUUCUGAACGCAUAUGGCGCUGUUGGGAUUACCCGACAGCACGUCUGUUUCAGUGUCUUUUGACUCCUUCAAACAUUAUACUGCCACAAGGUUGGGGAUUUACUUCAGUAAUUGGGGUUAGUUCUUGAUUUUGAGUGGUGGUGUCGUCUGCGCGUCGCUGUAUGGAUUAUAUAUCGGCGUCGCGUUAAAAUAAUAGUAUUUCAACAUAUAUUGUUGGGCAUAAGCAGUCGUUGUGCGUUAUCCUUUCGUUCACGAAAGAGAUACGGUGGUUUAUUAACUGCUGGAUAAUAUCUCAGAGCAAGUGGAUGAUGUAUUAUGGAUUACGUUGUGGCGAUUGCUGCUGGCAAUAUAGAUAUCUUUAUAUAGACCUGAAAUCAGUCGAGGUUACCCGCUGAAUUUAAGCAUAUUAUUAAGCGGAGGA
This 1002-nucleotide small RNA is filed under the name uncultured Eimeria. Its description in RNAcentral is "eukaryotic LSU rRNA". The stretch from base 486 to 639 matches the Rfam family "5.8S ribosomal RNA". Lineage: Eukaryota; Apicomplexa; Conoidasida; Eucoccidiorida; Eimeriidae. The record is from RNAcentral.